Molecule: ribosomal RNA, 1200 nt
Filed under: metagenome
Description: bacterial LSU rRNA
Rfam family: Bacterial large subunit ribosomal RNA
Source: RNAcentral
UGAGAGAACGAUGCUGAAGGAACUCGGCAAAUUGCCUCCGUAACUUCGGAAGAAGGAGGACCUUUAUUUGGGCAACCAGGUAAAGGUGGCACAGACCAGGGGGUAGCGACUGUUUAGCAAAAACACAGGGCUCUGCGAAAUCGCAAGAUGACGUAUAGGGUCUGACGCCUGCCCGGUGCCGGAAGGUUAAGAGGAGGGGUGCAAGCUCUGAAUCGAAGCCCCGGUAAACGGCGGCCGUAACAAUAACGGUCCUAAGGUAGCGAAAUUCCUUGUCGGGUAAGUUCCGACCUGCACGAAUGGCGUAACGACUUCCCCGCUGUCUCCAGCAUCGACUCAGUGAAAUUGAAUUCCCCGUGAAGAUGCGGGGUUCCUGCGGUUAGACGGAAAGACCCCGUGCACCUUUACUAUAACCUUGCAUUGGCAUUCGUGAUGGCAUGUGUAGGAUAGGUGGUAGGCUUUGAAGCUUGGGCGCUAGCUCAGGUGGAGCCACCCUUGAAAUACCACCCUUGUAGUUAUGAGUGUCUAACCGCGACCCGUUAUCCGGGCCCGGGACAAUGCAUGGUGGGUAGUUUGACUGGGGCGGUCGCCUCCCAAAGAGUAACGGAGGCGCGCGAUGGUGGGCUCAGAGCGGUCGGAAAUCACUCGUCGAGUGCAAUGGCAUAAGCCCGCCUGACUGCGAGACUGACAAGUCGAGCAGAGUCGAAAGACGGCCAUAGUGAUCCGGUGGUCCCACGUGGACGGGCCAUCGCUCAACGGAUAAAAGGUACGCCGGGGAUAACAGGCUGAUGAUCGCCAAGAGUCCAUAUCGACGCGAUCGUUUGGCACCUCGAUGUCGACUCAUCACAUCCUGGGGCUGGAGCAGGUCCCAAGGGUUCGGCUGUUCGCCGAUUAAAGUGGUACGUGAGUUGGGUUCAGAACGUCGUGAGACAGUUCGGUCCCUAUCUGCCGUGGGUGUAGGAGAAUUGAGAGGAUCUGUCCCUAGUACGAGAGGACCGGGAUGGACGUACCUCUGGUGGACCUGUUGUGGCGCCAGCCGCAUUGCAGGGUAGCUAUGUACGGACGGGAUAACCGCUGAAGGCAUCUAAGCGGGAAACCCACCUCGAAACUAUUUCUCCCUUGAGAGCCGUGGAAGACGACCACGUUGAUAGGCCGGGUGUGGAAGCGCAGUAAUGUGUGAAGCUUACCGGUACUAAUAGCCCA